Nomascus leucogenys (northern white-cheeked gibbon) is the source of this 94-nucleotide long non-coding RNA. RefSeq lists it as uncharacterized. The transcript is spliced from 3 exons. Lineage: Eukaryota; Metazoa; Chordata; Mammalia; Primates; Hylobatidae. The record is from RefSeq and is a predicted model, not a curated record.
UUUCUCAAAAAAUUAAAAAUAGAACUACCAUAUGAUCUAGCAAUCUCACUACUGGGAAUUGAUCCAAAGAAAAGGAAAUUGUAUCAAUGGAACA